This 484-nucleotide ribosomal RNA is filed under the name uncultured bacterium. RNAcentral describes it as "partial 16S ribosomal RNA". It matches the Rfam family "Bacterial small subunit ribosomal RNA", at positions 30 to 507 of the family's 1533-position model. The record is from RNAcentral.
AUUGAACGCUGGCGGCAGGCCUAACACAUGCAAGUCGAGCGGAUGAAGGGAGCUUGCUCCUGGAUUCAGCGGCGGACGGGUGAGUAAUGCCUAGGAAUCUGCCUGGUAGUGGGGGAUAACGUCCGGAAACGGGCGCUAAUACCGCAUACGUCCUGAGGGAGAAAGUGGGGGAUCUUCGGACCUCACGCUAUCAGAUGAGCCUAGGUCGGAUUAGCUAGUUGGUGGGGUAAAGGCCUACCAAGGCGACGAUCCGUAACUGGUCUGAGAGGCUGAUCAGUCACACUGGAACUGGGACACGGUCCAGACUCCUACGGGAGGCAGCAGUGGGGAAUAUUGGACAAUGGGCGAAAGCCUUAUCCAGCCAUGCCGCGUGUGUGAAGACGGUCUUCGGAUUGUAAAGCACUUUAAGUUGUGAGGAAGGGCAGUAAGUUAAUACCUUGCUGUUUUGACGUUACCAACAGAAUAAGCACCGGCUAACUUCGUG